ACUUUUGUCAUUACUUGAAAUAAAGACAUUUUGCUUGUGUGCUUUACUUAGCGUACUAAAAAAAGUUAUAGUAACCUAAAAACCAGAGGAUUAAUUUGGCACUCCAAAUGUUUUUGAAAUACAUUUGACUUAAUGUUCAGUCAGUCCUUGUCAGUCUUAAAAUGUUAACACAGAUCUUCGGGGUCAGGUUAGCCACCAGUGAACCAAAAUGUAAUAAAAUUAAUAUUAUCAUUGCAGAUAUUCACUAGGCCAAUUUGCAGUAAAAUCCAGCAAUAUCUAUUGGAACUUCAUAUUGAGAAACACUCACCUCUUGCUGAGCCUUCUGAAUUUUGCACAUUCCCAUUGUAAACACCCAAGUUUCCACAUUCCUAUACAGAACAUGACUCUACCCCAGAAUUGCUAAUCCAGAGCAGAAACCCCAAAGAAUAUUGUACAACAUAUUUUCUAAAGGGUUGCAACAAAAGUGAAGUUACCCAUCUCAAAGAAAAUAUAUAUUUUUAGAUCCAUCCAUCCAAUGUAGGCUGCAGUCAGAAAAAUGUACGUGUUGAUGCUGGCUUGAGAUUAAAGGAACCUUAACACUAAUCUUAGCACAAAUCUUAGCACUAACACUAACUGAAAAAUAAAUGACAACUAGUGAUGUCCCGAACUGUUCGCUAUUCGGUCCGCCCCCUAUGUCAUCAUUGAGUAAACUUUGACCCCGUACCUCACAGUCAGCAGACACA
This is a non-coding RNA of Pelobates cultripes (western spadefoot toad), 722 nucleotides long. The record is from the annotation of a GenBank genome assembly. NCBI's taxonomy places the organism in Eukaryota, Metazoa, Chordata, Amphibia, Anura, Pelobatidae.